GGUGCCCAACUGCGCGCUA
Molecule: small nuclear RNA, 19 nt
Filed under: Arabidopsis thaliana (thale cress)
Lineage: Eukaryota; Viridiplantae; Streptophyta; Magnoliopsida; Brassicales; Brassicaceae
Description: snRNA_02972
Source: RNAcentral